Molecule: long non-coding RNA, 476 nt
Filed under: Ananas comosus (pineapple)
Lineage: Eukaryota; Viridiplantae; Streptophyta; Magnoliopsida; Poales; Bromeliaceae
Description: long non-coding RNA (ACOM_LNC041333)
Source: RNAcentral
CAAUAUACCCCUCAUAUGUUUUUCCGUUAUUCCAAAAUAUUCCUAUAGUUACCACCCUAUCUACCACAGUUAAAAAUUAAAAUACUAUUUUUGUUCUUAACUUAAGAGCAAAUAAGAAAUGUUGGUGAUGGUAAAAGGGUAUAUUUGAAAAGACUAAAAAGCAAAAUACUUUUUGUGCUCCUAACUUAAAGGCAAAUAAAAAAAAGUCGGUAAUAGUAGAAGGGUAUAUUUGAAAGGGCAAAAUAGUAAUUUCACAAAGAUAACAGAGUUCAUUAAUAGAUUUUAACUUUAUGGAUAUAUUAGAAAUAUGUUAGAAUGUAAAAAGGGUAUUUUCAAUAUUAGCAUUAAUUCUAAGAAUGGUAAAUCAGAAAGUUGAAAACUUUUCAGAGGCAUAUAAGCAAUUGCCUCUUUACACAAAUAGUCUAGAUUUGUUCCACAUAAAUUUAUUUAAUUUAUAUACACUCUUAAUUUUGUUU